GCAUUGGAAUUAAUUAGCCCUGAGAUUGAUGACAAGGCCACUAUCCUUGAAAAAGAACAGCUCCGAGGUUUUGCAAAUCCAAAGACAUUACACGACAGACACUAGAAUACAAGUAGAUCAAAACCAUCGCCCCACGCGAUGAUAGCUUGAUGAUGAUACUAUCAAAAUAAUGAGACUCAACUUCUGGAGUUGGAAAACAACCACUGAAUCAGAUCAAAGAAAUAUUUGACAUUUCAGACUCAUUUGUUCUAACCCCACAUGUAAGUACAAAAGGUAUAUAAAUAUACUCUACUCCAAGAGUCUUCUGAUUAAUCCUGCAUAAUAUUAAUAAUAACCAUUAAUUGGUCUUCCCUAAUACAUUUUGAGGAUAACAAAUAUUGCAAAGCAAAAGGUAGUAUUUACCCCCCACAGCCCUUGGCAAGUUAUACAUUCUGCACUUUGCUUGAGAUCUCUUUUACUUUUUCUCCUUUUUCCUGCCAUCAAUAAGCCUCAAAUUCUCAGAACUCAAAAACAAACAGAUGUAUUUGCUAUGACACUUUUGAAAAGCAAAGAGUAUAUAUAUACCAUUACAUGACUGUUUAUUAGAAUUUUUAUCAUGUAAUACUAUUGAAAGUGAUGGAGAAAGAUAAAGAGAAUCGACCAUAGCAAGUAGUUAACACAUUUUGUAUCAAAAAUAAAAAAUAAAAAAAAACGCAAAAGGAAAAGAAGUAUCCAAUUUAUUAGAAAUCGUUGUCACAAUUAUAGAAGGUUCCAAAAUCGUUGUCACAAUUAUGUAAUACCAUAUUGCUACAAAUUGCCUGGGUCAUGAUAACUUGGGAAUGAAUAAGGCAAAUAAGAAGUUCACAAAGGGAUCCACCAUAAGUUGGUACCAGAAAAGGUCCCUAAUGUUGACAAGUAACAAGAUCUCAUUAGCUCCCUCAACUUCUCAUCCUCUAGGAUAUUUCACCAGACCAAAAAUCGUACUUCACUAUAACAGAAACAAAACAAAUCUACAGUAACUUGCACACAAAGCUUGUGUCCCAAAGACAAACUUAACUUAAAAGACUUAUCCUUAACAAACUCAAACCAAAGUUUCAGUCAAUUCCUCCUCAAUCAAAUAGCACACAGGAAAGGACCUUUAUAAUAAGACUAUAGUGAAUUAGUUGCAUAUCAGAAUAUCUGUUCGAGUUAAAAAAGGCAAUCACAUACAACAAGGAAACGAGAGCACAAUAUCCAAUUCUGAAAGCAUAUAAUAACUAAUCUUAUAAUAUGUUUUUUUUUUGGGUUUGGGGGGUUGGUUGGUAUUGUAUUAAACUAUUAAUCUUAGAUAUACAUGAUAAUACUUGCUCACCAUUCCCUUGCUCUCGUAAUAAUCAUCAAGGGCCCAUUGAUACUUUGACUGAUUCAACCCAAACCAACGCGCCAGAUGAUCAUCUAGACUUGAGUGGGCUGUAUAAGAAAGGUAAAUGGUUAUGAACUAUGCAAAAAAUUAAUUUAAAAAAUAGAGAAAAAAAAUAAAAUAUUUUUUUAUAAUGACGCCCAAACAAGCACAAAGUACAAACUUUCUUUUGUGUAGACACCGACUUUGAGAAAGAAAAGAAAAAAGAGAGAAAAAAAAAAGGGUAAGAGAAAAGAAAAGAAUAGAAUAAAGGCAAGGAAAAUCAAUUUUUGCACCAAAAAGAGGUAGAAUCGUGAUGGCGUAUACAUAAGCAACUAGAGUGCUUGUUUUAAACUUUCUUUUAAAGAAAAAAAAAUCAUUUUACAACUUAUAUUUUCUUUUGAAAAAUUAUUUGUGCAAUUUACGGAAAAGGUUGGGGAAUUUUUUUUUACACGAAAGCAAUUUUCUAGUGAAAUAGGUUGAAGCAAGCUCAGUCUAACUAGUUCCUCAUUUUUCUCUAGCCAUUUUGAUAAUUUGAUGUUACUGACCUACAAAAUGCAUCUAAAGAAAGAAAUCAAGACAAUGCUUAUUGAGCCAUGUGAUCAUGCUCUAUUGAUUAUUGAUACAUCUAUGGGCCGACAAGAAAGCGACUUCGAUGCAAUCGUGGAUACACCUCAGGGAUUUAACAUUUUUCAUGAGUAUGUCGCGUAUAAUUGAAUUGAAUAUACUCUAGAAAUUAACCACCCCCAAGGAUAGAGUGGGUUGAAUGUAGCUGCAAAGUAGUUAUACUCUAAAAGAACAAAGCUAGAUUCAAGUCCUGAUAUAGGCAAUAGUUGUAUAAACCUCUUAUUGUCUUAUACAUAACAAAAAUAAAACCAAUAGAGGAUUAAUUUCUAAAUUAUACUUAUAAUUAUAGGGAAUUGCAUUGGAAUUAAUUAGCCCUGAGAUUGAUGACAAGGCCACUAUCCUUGAAAAAGAACAGCUCCGAGGUUUUGCAAAUCCAAAGACAUUACACGACAGACACUAGAAUACAAGUAGAUCAAAACCAUCGCCCCACGCGAUGAUAGCUUGAUGAUGAUACUAUCAAAAUAAUGAGACUCAACUUCUGGAGUUGGAAAACAACCACUGAAUCAG
This 2491-nucleotide long non-coding RNA is filed under the name Arachis ipaensis. Its description in RNAcentral is "long non-coding RNA (AIPA_LNC000248)". The record is from RNAcentral. Lineage: Eukaryota; Viridiplantae; Streptophyta; Magnoliopsida; Fabales; Fabaceae.